RNAcentral lists this ribosomal RNA (468 nucleotides) under uncultured bacterium. RNAcentral describes it as "partial 16S ribosomal RNA". It matches the Rfam family "Bacterial small subunit ribosomal RNA", at positions 28 to 507 of the family's 1533-position model. The record is from RNAcentral.
GACGAACGCUGGCGGCGGGCUUAACACAUGCAAGUCGAACGGAAAGGCACUGCUUUUGUGGGGUGCUCGAGUGGCGAACGGGGGAGUAACACGUGAGUAACCUGACCUUGACUUUGGGGUAACUUCAGGAAGCUGAGGCUAAUACCGGAUAGGAGCUCCUGCUGCGUGGUGGGGGUUGGAAAGUUUCGGCGGGUGGGGAUGGACUCGCGGCUUAUCAGCUUGUUGGUGGGGUAGUGGCUUACCCAGGCUUUGACGGGUAGCCGGCCUGAGAGGGUGACCGGGCACAUUGGGCCUGAGAUACGGCGCAGACUCCUACGGGAGGCAGCAGUGGGGAAUAUUGCACAAUGGGCGGAAGUCUGAUGCAGCAGCGCUGCGUGCGGGAUGACGGCUUUCUGGUUGUAAACCGCUUUAGCUUGUGACGAAGCGUGAGUGACGGUAAUCGGUAAAGAAGCACCGGCUAACUACGUG